Molecule: long non-coding RNA, 1064 nt
Organism: Aethalodelphis obliquidens (Pacific white-sided dolphin)
Lineage: Eukaryota; Metazoa; Chordata; Mammalia; Artiodactyla; Delphinidae
Exons: 3
Source: RefSeq, a predicted model, not a curated record
CAGUGGAAGCAUGGAGUCUUAACAACUGGACUGCCAGGGAAGUCCCUAUAGUUGUCUUUAUACUAUGUACUUACUCCACUGCUAUCUUCUUCCCAUUUAUAUUUCUAUUUUACUAUGGCCUCUGUGAUGAGAAAACCAUUAUAAAUAAAUACACUUAUUUUCUUAGUCCUCCUCUGUCCUUUUAACCCUUUGGCAGAAAGGAAAUCCAAUGCUCCCCCAAGGUACAAUCUCCUAGGGAGCCAGCACUCCUGAGUUCUGGUUUAUUAUUUCUCCCCAUACUCUAUGUACCACCAAGAGGCAGCCAUUCUCCUAGCACUCCAUCGUUGCUCUUAGGUUCUAUACGUUCUUCUGUGUGCAAAAUCUUAUCCUCUUAUGAGGCCCAUGCCAUGCGCCAUACUUCCAUCUUCCACUGUUUUUGUCGUCUUCUGAUUUAAUGGCUACUUUCAUAAAUCAUAGAGGCUUUUGGCCUUUGCUUCUUUGUCUUCCUUCUUCUAACCACUGUUCUCUUUUUCUCUACUCCAUGUCCUCCAUAUAUCCUGGGAUAUUUUAAAGUCCACGUGGAAGAUCCUUCUAAUGCUAUAACUUCAACAUUUUGUGACCUCCUCAAUAUAUGCUAUGGUGUCCUGUUUAAGAAAUCCAUUUCUUUCCCAAGGUCAUAGCAUUUUUUCUUCUAUUAUAAUAUUUUAUAAUUUUGCCUUUCAUAUUUAGAUCUUCAUUACACUAGAAUUAAAUUUUAUCUAUUUUGAGAGGUAGGAGUCUAAUUUCAUAUUUCUCUAUAGGUAGAUUCCUAAUUGCUGCUCCAUUUAUUGAAAAAUAGAUCUUUCCCCAAAGAUCUGAAAUUCCAGCUCUGUGAUAAAGCACAUUCCACUGACUAUGGGGCUUGGUGAAAGCUACCGUGUUCGCUACUGGGCGUUGUUAGAGAGUGAAUGCUUAACUGUGGAACACCGUGCAGUUGCCCAUGCAGCGUAGAUGUGGUCAGCAACUUGAUUGGGAUCAGCUCAUGGAUUGCUUUGUGGUUCAGAAGUUCUGGAAAUGGAUGCAGAGGAAAUGUCAGACCACAGGUA